Molecule: ribosomal RNA, 419 nt
Filed under: uncultured bacterium
Lineage: Bacteria
Description: bacterial SSU rRNA
Rfam family: Bacterial small subunit ribosomal RNA
Source: RNAcentral
ACAGUGGCGAACGGGUGCGUAACGCGUAGAUAACCUGCCCACAGGCGCGGGACAACCACGGGAAACCGUGGCUAAUACCGCACGUCGUCUGGAGCCCGCAUGGGCACCAGAUGAAACCCUGCGAGGGGGCCUUUGGAUGGGUCUGCGUCGGAUUAGCUUGUUGGUGAGGUAACGGCUCACCAAAGUGACGAUCCGUAGCUGGUCUGAGAGGACGAUCAGCCACACUGGGACUGAGACACGGCCCAGACUCCUACGGGAGGCAGCAGUGGGGAAUCUUGCACAAUGGGGGAAACCCUGAUGCAGCCAUGCCGCGUGGAGGAAGACACCCCUAUGGGGCGUAAACUCCUUUUCUGAGAGAAGAAACCUCUGUAGGUUCAGAGUGUGACGGUAUCUCAGGAAUAAGCACCGGCUAACUCCGU